RNAcentral lists this ribosomal RNA (439 nucleotides) under uncultured bacterium. Its description in RNAcentral is "partial 16S ribosomal RNA". It matches the Rfam family "Bacterial small subunit ribosomal RNA", at positions 338 to 795 of the family's 1533-position model. The record is from RNAcentral.
CCUACGGGGGCAGCAGUGGGGAAUAUUGCACAAUGGGGGAAAACCUGAUGCCGCGACGGCGCGUGAGUGAAGAAGUAUUUCGGGAUGUAAAGCUCUGUCAGCAGGGAAGAAAAUGACGGUACCUGACCCAGAAGCCCUGGCUAACUACGUGCAAGCAGCAGCGGUAAUACGUAGGGGGCAAGCGUUAUCCGGAAUUACUGGGUGUAAAGGGAGGGUAGACGGGAGGGCAAGUCUGGAGUGAAAGUCGGGGGCUCAACCCACGGACUGCUCUGGAAACUGCCAGGCUGGAGUGCAGGAGAGGUAAGUGGAAUUCCUAGUGUAGCGGUGAAAUGCGUAGAUAUUAGGCGGAACACCAGUGGCGAAGGCGGCUUACUGGACUGUAACUGACGUUGAGGCACGAAAGCGUGGGGAGCAAACAGGAUUAGAUACCCCUGUAGUC